This 28-nucleotide non-coding RNA is filed under the name Homo sapiens (human). Lineage: Eukaryota; Metazoa; Chordata; Mammalia; Primates; Hominidae. The record is from RNAcentral.
ACACUUUCAAGAAAGUUGUGGUCAGGAC